CCGGGUAACCGGAGUGCCACAGCGGGCAGGCGUCAUAAGGACAGGCCUCGGAGAGGAGAGGGGCUACCCGAGAAUGGCCUCAAAACCGGUUUCUGCCCGCUACUCAGGAUUGUCUGCCGUGGUGGCUUCUCACACAAGCCUGUACUUUCCUGUGGGAGAAUAUUUCCUAGGAGCCUAUAUUCCAGUUCAUCUCUGACGUCAUAAAUCAUGACUGUGUAGAAAGGCCAUAACAUGUGACACAUGGCAGCCAUUUUGGAGAUGGCCAGAUGAGAGGACAAUCAAUCCACAUGCCUAAAUGGAACCAACAGACAUGUGCCAGCUUGCUUCUCCAGCCUAUGUUCUCAGACACUUGUAGAAGACCAGAGGGAAAAUGGAAUCAGAAAAAACAGCAACAACAACAAAAAGCCAUCCAGGGCCAUGCACAGUGGCUCACUCCUGUAAUCCCAACAGUUUGGGAGGCCAAGGCAGGUGGAUUGCUUGAGCUCAGCAGUUUAAGACCAGCCUGGGCAACAUGGCGAAACCCUUUCUCUACUAAAUACAAAAACUAGCUGGGUGUGGUGGCAUGCACCUGUAGUCCCAGCUACUCGGGAGGCUGAGGUGGGAGGAUCACCUGAGCCUGGGAGGUUGAAGCUGCAGUGAGCUGUGAUGGUGCCACUGCACUCCCACCUGGGUGACAGAGCAAGACCCUGUCUCAAAAAAACAAAACUAAACAAAAAAAUCCAUGUGGGAAAAGGCCCAAUCAGAGCCAACUCACUGCUGGGAUUAGUAGAAAUGAUUAGUCACCAGAAGGCAAAUCGUGGAAGAAUGAAGAGAUGACAGGACCUCAGGAACUACACCCAGAGGUGUAGUUGUGCCGUAGGCAAAGCAUCAUGCCGGUCAUCCCCAAGAAAGGGAGAAGGGGUAGAGCUCAGACUCUUCCCUGCUUCCCCAUAAGUCCAGUUUACCCUGGGCUGAUCCUUUCAGCAUGGCAGCCUCCGUGGGGAGGCACGAGAUCCAAAGAUGAAGAUGUCUAUGGGGGUGAAGAAGAAUGGCAAACUUUGCAGGCAAGAGUAGGCAUUAGAGAGAUCAGAGGAGGAAGACAAUAGAGAAGGAUGACACAGGACAGGCUGUAUCUAGAGGAUAUAAUGCCAUGGACUUUGGACUAUUCCAGAGAGGCUGAGAGACCUGUCUCCUGCCUACAAGGCUCCUUGAACUCUGCACCCUUCUUUUUGCUAAAGUGCUGCUGAGGCCUGUCUCACUUCCCAAUGAAAAGCAACUCAGGAAAUUGGCUUCCUGCCCCACUCCUUCUUUGGGAGAGAGAAACAGAACUGAAGAGGAAGGAAGGAAGCCCAAAGAAACAGAGGCUUUCUUUCCUGGCUGAGAUUUGUUGGCACUGCCCACUAACAUAGAGAAUAAGGUGGUUCCCUAAGCGAGCCUUAAGCUGGCAUGAGGCUACAAACAAGUGAUUGUAUCUUCGUUCUGCUCAGCAGCCUACCUGGGCUGGCCUGGACAACCUCAAUUGUAUACUGAGGUCUUAAGCUGGCCAUGGCCCUUGGUAAAGCAGGAGAAAGGAAUAAGGCUGGAAGGUACAGAAUUUGCUUGAUGCCUUGCCUACAUAAUUCCUUUGCUGUUGCAACUGGCAACUCUUUGCUUGCAUUAUAUGAAAAAAAGGCGGUAAAAAAUUGUCAGAAAUGUUUGCCACCAGCCUAACCCCACUGCCCAUGCAUUGCUCCCAAGAAAGCUAAUUAAGGCCCAUUGCUAUUAGAGUUACAUGAUUCUGAAGGCUUGUUAUGACAAGAAAAAAUAAUGAAGACAUGGUUCCUCCAAGUCAUAAGCAUCCAAGUCAAAACAUACUGCAUCCCAGGCGAGUGUGGUGGCUCACGCCUGUAAUCCCAGCACUUCGGGAGGCCAAGGCAGCCGGAUCACGAGGUCAGGAGUUCGAGACCAGCCUUGCCAAGAUGAUGAAACCCCGUCUCUACUAAAAAUACAAAAAUUAGCCAGGCAUGGUGGCGGGCGCCUGUACUCCCAGCUACUCAGGAAGCUGAGGCAGGAGAAUCGCUUGAAACCGGGAGGCGGAGGUUGCAAUGAGCCGAGAUCACACCACUGCACUGUACCCUGGGCGUCAGAGCAAGACUCCAUCUCAAAAAAAAAAGAAAAAAACAUCCUGCAUCCCUUGUUCCUUUGUGUUCCCCUAGACAAGCCUCUGGGCUGGCUUUGCCUAUCUCAUGCAUGCAGGCAGUCAUCCUCCUUUGGCCAGUGCAUACCUGACUCCUACUCAGUGCCAGGCCUGGAGAAGACUGUGAGACCUGCCCUUGAGGAGUUCUGUUUGCAGGAAGAGAGUGAUAGGCACACAAAUUAUUUCCAAUAAACUACAGAAAAUGUC
This 2362-nucleotide long non-coding RNA is filed under the name Homo sapiens (human). RNAcentral's name for it is "non-protein coding BSN-DT:22". Lineage: Eukaryota; Metazoa; Chordata; Mammalia; Primates; Hominidae. The record is from RNAcentral.